AACGAACGCUGGCGGCAGGCCUCAAACAUGCAAGUCUAGGGGGUGUAGCAAUACAUCACCGGCGGACGGGUGCGUAACGCGUGGGAAUGUACCUAUUGGUUCGGAACAACACAGGGAAACUUGUGCUAAUACCGAAUGUGCCCGUAAGGGGAAAGAUUUAUCGCCAAUAGAUCAGCCCGCGUAGGAUUAGCUAGUUGGUGAGGUAAUGGCUCACCAAGGCUCCGAUCCUUAGCUGUUCUGAGAGGAAGAUCAGCCACACUGGGACUGAGACACGGCCCAGACUCCUACAGGAGGCAGCAGUUGGGAAUCUUGGACAAUGGGGAAAACCCUGAUCCAGCCAUGCCGCGUGAGUGAUGAAGGCCUUCGGGUUGUAAAACUCUUUCGACGGGGACGAUAAUGACGGUACCCGUAGAAGAAGCUCCGGCUAACUUCGUGCCAGCCGCCGCAGUAA
This 451-nucleotide ribosomal RNA is filed under the name uncultured bacterium. Its description in RNAcentral is "partial 16S ribosomal RNA". It matches the Rfam family "Bacterial small subunit ribosomal RNA", at positions 29 to 523 of the family's 1533-position model. The record is from RNAcentral.